CCUGUGGUUCCAGAGUGUGUUCCAGAAUCCAGCAGCUCCAUGAAGACUCACUCUCCUGUUUCCCCUUUCCCUCUUUCCCCAACUCCCCUCUUUCCCUUGGCAGUUAUGAUGAAGGUAAACACAUGAGUAGGCACAAGCCAAACAUCAGCUCCUAUAGCAGAAGCAGGCAAGGCUUACAAAUUGACUGCUCUUAAUGCAUACAUUCUUUUCUCUGUACAGAAUUUAAAGUGUUGAUGGGAGUGGGCAUGGGAAAGUAGAAGUGAGUAGGUUUUCUUCCUUUCCUAAGAUCAGAAACUUUCAAGAGAGUUGGGGUGAGUCCUGCUCCCGGAAGACAUUGGCCUUUUUAAAGGAUGCGGUA
RNAcentral lists this long non-coding RNA (358 nucleotides) under Homo sapiens (human). RNAcentral describes it as "non-protein coding lnc-ALKAL1-1:1". The record is from RNAcentral. Lineage: Eukaryota; Metazoa; Chordata; Mammalia; Primates; Hominidae.